UCGAGCGGUAAGGCCCUUCGGGGUACACGAGCGGCGAACGGGUGAGUAACACGUGGGUAACCUGCCCUGUACUCUGGGAUAAGCCUUGGAAACGAGGUCUAAUACCGGAUAUGACACUGGAUCGCAUGAUCUGGUGUGGAAAGUUCCGGCGGUAUGGGAUGGACCCGCGGCCUAUCAGCUUGUUGGUGGGGUAAUGGCCUACCAAGGCGACGACGGGUAGCCGGCCUGAGAGGGUGACCGGCCACACUGGGACUGAGACACGGCCCAGACUCCUACGGGAGGCAGCAGUGGGGAAUAUUGCACAAUGGGCGAAAGCCUGAUGCAGCGACGCCGCGUGAGGGAUGACGGCCUUCGGGUUGUAAACCUCUUUCAGCAGGGACGAAGCGCAAGUGACGGUACCUGCAGAAGAAGCACCGGCUAACUACGUGCCAGCAGCCGCGGUAAUACGUAGGGUGCGAGCGUUGUCCGGAAUUAUUGGGCGUAAAGAGCUCGUAGGCGGUUUGUCGCGUCGGCCGUGAAAACUUGGGGCUUAACUCCAAGCUUGCGGUCGAUACGGGCAGACUUGAGUUCGGCAGGGGAGACUGGAAUUCCUGGUGUAGCGGUGAAAUGCGCAGAUA
This 617-nucleotide ribosomal RNA is filed under the name Lentzea sp. RNAcentral describes it as "bacterial SSU rRNA". It matches the Rfam family "Bacterial small subunit ribosomal RNA", at positions 62 to 696 of the family's 1533-position model. The record is from RNAcentral. Lineage: Bacteria; Bacillati; Actinomycetota; Actinomycetes; Pseudonocardiales; Pseudonocardiaceae.